CAGCAGGCCGCGGUAAUACAKAGGUCUCAAGCGUUGUUCGGAUUCAUUGGGCGUAAAGGGUGCGUAGGYGGCGAGGUAAGUCGGAUGUGAAAUCUCCAAGCUCAACUUGGAAACUGCAUUCGAUACUGCUUUGCUAGAGGAUUGUAGAGGGCAUUGGAAUUCACGGUGUAGCAGUGAAAUGCGUAGAUAUCGUGAGGAAGACCAGUGGCGAAGGCGAAUGCCUGGGCAAUUCCUGACACUGAGGCACGAARGCCAGGGGAGCAAACGGGAUUAGAUACCCCGGUAGUCCUGGCAGUAAACGGUGCACGUUUGGUGUGGGAGGAUUCGACCCCUUCCGUGCCGGAGCUAACGCGUUAAACGUGCCGCCUGGGGAGUACGGUCGCAAGAUUAAAACUCAAAGGAAUUGACGG
This 410-nucleotide ribosomal RNA is filed under the name uncultured bacterium. RNAcentral's name for it is "bacterial SSU rRNA". It matches the Rfam family "Bacterial small subunit ribosomal RNA", at positions 509 to 916 of the family's 1533-position model. The record is from RNAcentral.